Molecule: ribosomal RNA, 496 nt
Filed under: uncultured bacterium
Lineage: Bacteria
Description: partial 16S ribosomal RNA
Rfam family: Bacterial small subunit ribosomal RNA
Source: RNAcentral
ACGAACGCUGGCGGCGUGCCUAAUACAUGCCAGUAGAACGCUGAAGAGAGGAGCUUGCUCUUCUUGGAUGAGUUGCGAACGGGUGAGUAACGCGUAGGUAACCUGCCUUGUAGCGGGGGAUAACCAUUGGAAACGAUAGCUAAUACCGCAUAACAAUGGAUGACACAUGUCAUUUAUUUGAAAGGGGCAAUUGCUCCACUACAAGAUGGACCUGCGUUGUAUUAGCUAGUAGGUGAGGUAACGGCUCACCUAGGCGACGAUACAUAGCCGACCUGAGAGGGUGAUCGGCCACACUGGGACUGAGACACGGCCCAGACUCCUACGGGAGGCAGCAGUAGGGAAUCUUCGGCAAUGGGGGCAACCCUGACCGAGCAACGCCGCGUGAGUGAAGAAGGUUUUCGGAUCGUAAAGCUCUGUUGUAAGUCAAGAACGAGUGUGAGAGUGGAAAGUUCACACUGUGACGGUAGCUUACCAGAAAGGGACGGCUAACUACGUG